UGGGGAACCUGCCCCAUAGUCUGGGAUACCACUUGGAAACAGGUGCUAAUACCGGAUAAGAAAGCGGAUCGCAUGAUCAGCUUUUAAAAGGCGGCGUAAGCUGUCGCUAUGGGAUGGCCCCGCGGUGCAUUAGCUAGUUGGUAAGGUAAAGGCUUACCAAGGCGAUGAUGCAUAGCCGAGUUGAGAGACUGAUCGGCCACACUGGGACUGAGACACGGCCCAAACUCCUACGGGAGGCAGCAGAG
RNAcentral lists this ribosomal RNA (245 nucleotides) under uncultured Lactobacillus sp. RNAcentral's name for it is "partial 16S ribosomal RNA". It matches the Rfam family "Bacterial small subunit ribosomal RNA", at positions 118 to 354 of the family's 1533-position model. The record is from RNAcentral. Lineage: Bacteria; Bacillati; Bacillota; Bacilli; Lactobacillales; Lactobacillaceae.